AAUAUUGGACAAUGGGGGAAACCCUGAUCCAGCCAUCCCGCGUGUAUGAUGAAGGCCUUCGGGUUGUAAAGUACUUUUGGCAGGGAAGAAAAGGUAUCUCCUAAUACGAGAUACUGCUGACGGUAUCUGCAGAAUAAGCACCGGCUCACUACGUUCCAGCAGCCGCGGUAAUACGUAGGGUGCAAGCGUUAAUCGGAAUUACUGGGCGUAAAGCGUGUGUAGGCGGUUCGGAAAGAAAGAUGUGAAAUCCCAGGGCUUAACCUUGGAAUUGCAUUCUUAACUGCCAGGCUAGAGUAUGUCAGAGGGGGGUAGAAUUCCACGUGUAGCAGUGAAAUGCGUAGAGAUGUGGAGGAAUACCGAUGGCGAAGGCAGCCCCCUGGGAUAAUACUGACGCUCAUGCACGAAAGCGUGGGGAGCAAACA
This 422-nucleotide ribosomal RNA is filed under the name uncultured bacterium. RNAcentral's name for it is "partial 16S ribosomal RNA". It matches the Rfam family "Bacterial small subunit ribosomal RNA", at positions 360 to 774 of the family's 1533-position model. The record is from RNAcentral.